RNAcentral lists this ribosomal RNA (263 nucleotides) under uncultured bacterium. RNAcentral describes it as "partial 16S ribosomal RNA". It matches the Rfam family "Bacterial small subunit ribosomal RNA", at positions 335 to 596 of the family's 1533-position model. The record is from RNAcentral.
GUCCUACGGGGGGCAGCAGUGAGGAAUAUUGGUCAAUGGGCGCGAGCCUGAACCAGCCAAGUAGCGUGAAGGAUGACUGCCCUACGGGUUGUAAACUUCUUUUAUAAAGGAAUAAAGUGAGGCACGUGUGCCUUUUUGUAUGUACUUUAUGAAUAAGGAUCGGCUAACUCCGUGCCAGCAGCCGCGGUAAUACGGAGGAUGCGAGCGUUAUCCGGAUUUAUUGGGUUUAAAGGGUGCGUAGGCGGGCAUUUAAGCCGGCGGUC